Unclassified non-coding RNA from Otolemur garnettii (small-eared galago), 113 nucleotides. It matches the Rfam family "Y RNA". From Rfam's summary of the family: Y RNAs are components of the Ro ribonucleoprotein particle (Ro RNP), in association with Ro60 and La proteins. The Y RNAs and Ro60 and La proteins are well conserved, but the function of the Ro RNP is not known. NCBI's taxonomy places the organism in Eukaryota, Metazoa, Chordata, Mammalia, Primates, Galagidae. The record is from Ensembl.
GGCUGGUCUGAUGGUAGUGAGCUAUCUCAACUUGAGUGUUCACUAGUCAGUUACUGAUUGAAUUCCUCGUACUCUUUUCCCGCUUUCUCACUACUGCACUUGACUAGUCUUAA